ACUCAACCGAGGAAGUGCUUCGAAAACUGGUAAACUUGAGUGCAGAAGAGGAAAGUGGAACUCCAUGUGUAGCGGUGGAAUGCGUAGAUAUAUGGAAGAACACCAGUGGCGAAGGCGGCUUUCUGGUCUGUAACUGACGCUGAGAUUCGAAAGCAUGGGUAGCAAACAGGAUUAGAUACCCUGGUAGUCCAUGCCGUAAACGAUGAGUGCUAAGUGUUGGAGGGUUUCCGCCCUUCAGUGCUGCAGCUAACGCAUUAAGCACUCCGCCUGGGGAGUACGAUCGCAAGAUUGAAACUCAAAGGAAUUGACGGGGGCCCGCACAAGCGGUGGAGCAUGUGGUUUAAUUCGAAGCAACGCGAAGAACCUUACCAGGUCUUGACAUACCAUGAAAAGCUAAGAGAUUAGUCUUUCCCUUCGGGGACAUGGAUACAGGUGGUGCAUGGUUGUCGUCAGCUCGUGUCGUGAGAUGUUGGGUUAAGUCCCGCAACGAGCGCAACCCUUAUUAUCAGUUGCCAGCAUUCAGUUGGGCACUCUGGUGAGACUGCCGGUGACAAACCGGAGGAAGGUGGGGACGACGUCAAAUCAUCAUGCCCCUUAUGACCUGGGCUACACACGUGCUACAAUGGUCGGUACAACG
RNAcentral lists this ribosomal RNA (637 nucleotides) under uncultured bacterium. RNAcentral describes it as "bacterial SSU rRNA". It matches the Rfam family "Bacterial small subunit ribosomal RNA", at positions 607 to 1244 of the family's 1533-position model. The record is from RNAcentral.